AUGAUGAUUAUUCCCCACCUUCUAAGAGACAAAGACCAGCGAGCCACCACAGCCACCAGUCCCAGAACCCGCCAAUGCUGGGGAACGGAAAAUGAGGGAGUUCAACUCUGGCCCUCACAAUCCAGUGGAGGAGACGAAACUCAUCUGCUUCUGUCCCUCUGGGCACGCCUCAUGCCAGGUGCAUCUGUGGACAGGUGCCAUGCUCCCGGGCUUCCAAAGUUGGAGAAAGCUGCCAGGCUCAGGUCUGAAGGCCAGAAUUCUACAGUAAGUCCUACUGAGUCAAGGUGGGAGCAGGGUCGGUGGCUUCCGAGGCUCUGCGGGAGAAUCCGUUUCCUGGCCGUAGAGGUGGCCUGCACUCCUCAGCUUGUGCUGCCCGUCUCGAAUGACUGGAGUUUCCUGCUUCUGUCACUACACCUCCCACCCUCUCCAUCACCUGCUCUGCUCUUUUAAGGAUCCGAAGAAAUGGAAUCAUCGUAUCGCUGAUCUACGUAAACAAAUUGAAGAAUUGUCUGAAAGAAAAUAUGACAUGAACUUAUGAAUUCAACAGGUGAAGAUUUACAACUUGAUAAAUCAGCUUUGUGAGCUCAAGCUGUAAAAGCCAAAGGUCCUGUGAUGAUCCCAUACCCUUUUUUCCAGUCUCAUGUUGAAGAUUUUUAUGUAGAAGGCCUUCCCAACGGAAUUUUUUUUUUUUUUUUUUUUUUGAGAUAGAGUUUUCACUCUUAUCGCCCAGGCUGGGGUGCAAUGGCGCAACCUUGCUGGUCACUGCAACCUCUGCCUCCUGGGUUCAAGAAAUUCUCCUGCCUUAGCCUCCCA
Long non-coding RNA from Pan troglodytes (chimpanzee), 813 nucleotides. RefSeq lists it as uncharacterized. Lineage: Eukaryota; Metazoa; Chordata; Mammalia; Primates; Hominidae. The transcript is spliced from 6 exons. The record is from RefSeq and is a predicted model, not a curated record.